AAGCCAAUCAAUCUGCUUCUCUGAAUCUUUCUGCAGAAAUUUAGAAACAGCUGGCAAUAGUGAUGCCAUUUUAUGAGCCUUAACGACAACUGAAGUCAUUACAAUCCCUCAAAAUGACUAUAAUA
This 125-nucleotide small nucleolar RNA is filed under the name Jaculus jaculus (lesser Egyptian jerboa). RNAcentral's name for it is "Small nucleolar RNA SNORA33 (ENSJJAG00000009253.1)". It matches the Rfam family "Small nucleolar RNA SNORA33". Rfam says of the family: ACA33 is a member of the H/ACA class of snoRNA that guide the sites of modification of uridines to pseudouridines. Lineage: Eukaryota; Metazoa; Chordata; Mammalia; Rodentia; Dipodidae. The record is from Rfam by way of RNAcentral.